AGCUAAAAUCAAAGGAUUGGCACAGAAUCAAGCUGGCUGCGUCCCGUCGGGAUUGCUGACAGAUUCCGUAGAAGCAGAGGGAUUGAGGAAGGAAUAUCUGAGGAUACCUCUGAACUGAAUGGGGGGUGGUGUUGGAGUUGAGGAGGGAAGGUGAAAAAAACAGAUCUCACGAUUUUUAUGAUCGGAGGUUAGGCUACAGAAGAUUUCCGUUUUUCUCUCUUGUUUUUCGUUCUCCUCGUUCACAUUGCUCUCUUGUGGAACACUUUCCAAACAGUAUCAGGUUCCAGAUCUUGACUUGUGAUAACACAGCAUUUUGUCUGGGGUAAACAGGAGUACAGAAAAAAAUCUGUCAGGAAGGCAAAUAGAAAAAUCCAGCAGAGAUAAAAUAGCUCAAUUCCUCUCCCAGAGGCAUGGAGAGGGGGAUAAAAACGGAGAUUGAGUGACAAGGGUCAUCCGGGGAAGAAAAAAAAAAUCUAAUUUUCGAGAUGAAAAGAAGAUGAAAAUUGAAAAAGAAGCCUAACUUGAUCAAAAAGUCCUACUUCCAACUUUCAAUACCAGAAAUCCUCAAGUGCACCUGUGACCACACUUUUGCUGGUUGGAAAGUAGGUGCAUUCCGAGAGCAUCUGGGAAUGUGUGGAGAAUUCUAGAAGAACUUCUUGCUGUCAGCAGGCAAGUAGAAGAAGACGAGUCAAGGGUGGCAAAAUGGGCCUUUACAGAGCAGGAAACAGCCUGGAGCCAGAGGA
Molecule: long non-coding RNA, 743 nt
Organism: Myxocyprinus asiaticus (Chinese sucker)
Lineage: Eukaryota; Metazoa; Chordata; Actinopteri; Cypriniformes; Catostomidae
Exons: 3
Source: RefSeq, a predicted model, not a curated record